UUGGAGGGCAAGUCUGGUGCCAGCAGCCGCGAUAAUUCCAGCUCCAAUAGCGUAUAUUAAAGUUGUUGCAGUUAAAAAGCACGUAGUUGAACUUCGGAAUUUGUUCAUUGGUCAGGCUCAACUGUCUGUACUGGUGUGACGAAUUUCUAUCUUCUGAGGAAUCUUCAUGCCAUUAAUUUGGUGUGGGGGGGAAUCAGGACUGUUACUUUGAAAAAA
Molecule: ribosomal RNA, 216 nt
Filed under: uncultured Diversispora
Lineage: Eukaryota; Fungi; Glomeromycota; Glomeromycetes; Diversisporales; Diversisporaceae
Description: partial 18S ribosomal RNA
Rfam family: Eukaryotic small subunit ribosomal RNA
Source: RNAcentral